UUUUUUUUUUUUUUUUUUUUUGUUAUAUGCAACAUAAAAAUAUUAAAACCAUACCAAAUUUUGGAAAAUAAAUAUACUAGCAUCGGCGCUACCGGCGAAUCUUCAUUUCCAUAAAUGAUAACUCCAAUUUGAUUUAGUCUACGUCUAAAGUAUCUGACAUUUCUUGCCAAUUGUUUGAUACGUUUCUUUCCAGCAUCAGUUCCAUCCUCGCCCGAGAUGAUUCUCAUAGAUGCGAUAAUUUGUUGGGCGACGGGAGGUGACAUUGCAAUUGCCUAUAUAUCCGCCAGCAGAUCCAAAACUUUUCGUAAAUGUUCCCAUAAGUAUGUCGACUUCCCGUGGAUCUAUAUUAUAAUAAUCACAAACUCCUCGUCCAUGAUUUCCUAUUGCCCCUAUACUAUGAGCCUCGUCCACGUAAAGAUAGGCCUAAAUUUAAUGACAAUAAUGAGUAUUAUUAACUCUUUGCGAUCGUAAUACUUUUCGAUCGCAAAGAGUUAAAAACAUAUAAUGAUAAUGAUAUAUUUCAGUUGAAUAAUUCAGAAAAAUCUCUCUUUGCAUAUUUCCAACGAACAUUACCUAACAAAUAUGAAAUAAUCAAAUGUAAUGUCUUAAUAUUUAUAUUAAAAUUAAUGAUAAUGA
Vespa velutina is the source of this 636-nucleotide long non-coding RNA. RefSeq lists it as uncharacterized. The transcript is spliced from 2 exons. NCBI's taxonomy places the organism in Eukaryota, Metazoa, Arthropoda, Insecta, Hymenoptera, Vespidae. The record is from RefSeq and is a predicted model, not a curated record.